AUCCUCUCAGGUUCAUACCCAGAGAGUUUUCAGUACUCUACCAGUCUCUACUAUAGGAGGGAUAGUCAAGCAGAGGCAUACCCAUUCCAUUCCUAGCUUGGGCAGUGGCUAGUGAGUGGAAGGCAUUCUGCUACAAGU
RNAcentral lists this small nucleolar RNA (138 nucleotides) under Ornithorhynchus anatinus (platypus). Lineage: Eukaryota; Metazoa; Chordata; Mammalia; Monotremata; Ornithorhynchidae. The record is from RNAcentral.